RNAcentral lists this non-coding RNA (21 nucleotides) under Caenorhabditis elegans. Lineage: Eukaryota; Metazoa; Nematoda; Chromadorea; Rhabditida; Rhabditidae. The record is from RNAcentral.
UAUUAAGUCCUUAGCUUAUCA